CCUACGGGUGGCAGCAGUGGGGAAUAUUGCACAAUGGGGGGAACCCUGAUGCAGUGACGCCGCGUGAGUGAAGAAGUAUUUCGGUAUGUAAAGCUCUAUCAGCAGGGAAGAAAAUGACGGUACCUGCCUAAGAAGCCCCGGCUAACUACGUGCCAGCAGCCGCGGUAAUACGUAGGGGGCAAGCGUUAUCCGGAUUUACUGGGUGUAAAGGGAGCGCAGACGGCUGUGCAAGUCUGGAGUGAAAGGCGGGGGCCCAACCCCCGGACUGCUCUGGAAACUGUAAAGCUGGAGUGCAGGAGAGGUAAGCGGAAUUGCUAGUGUAGCGGUGAAAUGCGUAGAUAUUAGGAGGAACACCAGUGGCGAAGGCGGCUUACUGGACUGCAACUGACGUUGAGGCUCGAAAGCGUGGGGAGCAAACAGGAUUAGAUACCCGAGUAGUC
Molecule: ribosomal RNA, 440 nt
Filed under: uncultured bacterium
Lineage: Bacteria
Description: partial 16S ribosomal RNA
Rfam family: Bacterial small subunit ribosomal RNA
Source: RNAcentral